ACGAAGGUGGCAAGCGUUGUCCGGAUUCACUGGGCGUACAGGGUGUGUAGGCGGUUAGGUAAGCCUUCUGUUAAAGCUUCGGGCCCAACCCGGAAAGCGCAGAGGGUACUGCCAGGCUAGAGGGCGGGAGAGGAGCGCGGAAUUCCCGGUGUAGCGGUGAAAUGCGUAGAGAUCGGGAGGAAGGCCGGUGGCGAAGGCGGGUUGCUGGGCUGACACUGACGCCGAGGCGCGAAAGCUAGGGGAGCGAACGGGA
Molecule: ribosomal RNA, 253 nt
Filed under: uncultured prokaryote
Description: partial 16S ribosomal RNA
Rfam family: Bacterial small subunit ribosomal RNA
Source: RNAcentral